CCUACGGGAGGCAGCAGUGAGGAAUAUUGGUCAAUGGCCGGAAGGCUGAACCAGCCAUGCCGCGUUAAGGUCAGUGCCCUAUGGGCGUUAAACUUCUUUUGUGCGGGAGCAAUAAUGGUCACGUGUGGCCAGACUAGAGUACCGUACGAAUAAACAUCGGCUAACUCCGUGCCAGCCGCCGCGGUAAUACGGGGGAUGCACGCGUUAUCCGGAUUUAUUGGGUUUAAAGGGUGCGUAGGCUGUGAGUUAAGUCAGCGGUGAAAUGCCCCCGCUCAACGGGGUGAAGUGCCAUUGAUACUGGCUUGCUGGAAUGCGGAGGCCGGGGGAGGAAUGUGUGGUGUAGCGGUGAAAUGCAUAGAUAUCACACAGAACACCGAUUGCGAAGGCAUCUCACGAAUCCGCGAUUGACGCUGAUGCACGAAAGCGUGGGUAUCAAACAGGAUUAGAUACCCCUGUAGUC
Molecule: ribosomal RNA, 460 nt
Filed under: uncultured bacterium
Lineage: Bacteria
Description: partial 16S ribosomal RNA
Rfam family: Bacterial small subunit ribosomal RNA
Source: RNAcentral